This is a long non-coding RNA of Silurus meridionalis, 1774 nucleotides long. RefSeq lists it as uncharacterized. The record is from RefSeq and is a predicted model, not a curated record. The transcript is spliced from 3 exons. NCBI's taxonomy places the organism in Eukaryota, Metazoa, Chordata, Actinopteri, Siluriformes, Siluridae.
UCUGUUAAAAAUAUAUAUUUCCAGGUCUAAUCUUUUUUUUUUUUUUUUUUGCUAUUCAAAUGAAAUAAUCUUUUAGUCACAGGAUUUGAAAUUAAUUCUUUCUUGAUCAGUAUUGCUGCUUCAUCUGAGAAGUUUUUUAUUUUAUUUUAUUUUAUUUUUUAUUUACAGCAAGAACCUUGUAUCCCAUUUCUUCUGGAUUUUCCAGUGUUGAAAUGUUCAUUCCUCUAGACAGCAGCAUCUGCUAAUAAAGGCACUGUAAUAAAAGUAGCAGGAAUAUUCAGACCUGCUAGUAAAUGCUACUCAAAUAGCAGAUAAUAACAUGAGAGUGUGGAACAUAGAGUAAGUGUUUUCUCUAUAACAUGGAAACAUAUUUACUUUUUCUGUUCUAGUCACUUUAGAAGCUCCAGCAGCCAGCAGGGGGCGACAGCAGCACACAGUGAGAGUGGCCAUGUUGGAAAAAUCGAUUACCCAGAAUCCUUCAGGCUCAUCCUGGAUUGGCUGCACCUGCCGUUUAGGAUACUUAAGACCUGUUUUGGACUCUCUCUUAUUUUACACCUUUGUAGGAUUCUGCCUGAGGUUAGAGAAACGUGAAAAAAAAGGAAGAUAUGAAUGAUAAAAACAGAUAUGCAAAUCCAAAUGUCAGGGCGGGACAUCACUCUAUUUAUGUGAUGUGUUGGAUGAACUUUGUUAAACAUUUGAGAACAGAGAAGACCCCAGUAAAAACAUCACACACCAUGUUCUCUACAUCUCUACUGCUCCUGCUGGCAGCUGCUUCCUAUGUGCAUGGUGAGGAACUGACUUAGCCUGCUUCCAUGACAGUCCAGCCAGGCCAGAGUCUCUCCAUCAACUGCAAGGUUUCAUAUUCAGUUACGAGCUAUAACACACAUUGGAUUCGACAACUUGCAGGAAAAACUCUGGAGUGGAUUGGAAUCAUUCAUACUAGUGGGAGCACAGACUACAGUGACAAAUUGAAAAAUAAGUUCAGCAUUUUCAGAGACACGUCUACUAACACAAUAACAAUUCGAGGACAGAACAUGCAGACUGAAGACACAGCUGUGUAUUACUGCGCUCGAGACUCACAGUGAUACACAUCACCAACAUCCCUGUACAAAAACUUGCAGAAACGCAACUUUUUUCUGUAUGGUGUGUGUUGUCGUGUUUCUUCAUGAACAUUGGUCAGAGUCCUACAUGAACAGUGCUCAUCAUGUUUUAAAUCUCUGUUUGGUUGUUUUAUUUUACAGUAAAAUCUUAAUAAAUUGUGUGAACUUUAUCCAAGCACAUACAGUAGCAGUCCUGCACAAGUGUGAACUCCCAACAUGCUCCUUAAUUUAAGUGCAAUAUUCAUUCUGCAGUUCAGGAGCAUUAUAAACAUUUAAGAAGUCCAUAUUUGCUUCCUUUUUACCUGAUUUCUUCUUCACCUGAACAGAUGUUUGACAGAAUAAAGAGUUUAUUGUUAUGUGUAACUUGUUCAUUUUUAAACUUGGAUUAUUCUGAAAACUUAGAUUCAUUUAAUUUGAACUGUAAAUCAAACAGUUUAGUCCACAUGUGAACACAUUAUGAAACGAUAGGAGGCACUGUUGUACUUUGUUGCUCCAUACCAUAUCAUUUCUGCUUUUCACUUUUGAAGUCAUAUUAAACACCUUCAGGUACAGUAUUACUCCUCUCUGUUAUCAUAUUCCUUAAUAAAAGAACAGAACAAAGUGAAGAGAUUUCUAUAAACUCUUGUACAUGUGUUUUACCUCAUAAUGCCUUUAUUCCUGUCAAAAUCACUUGU